AUAAAUGAUUUUAUUUUAAAAUUGUAUGCAAAUACAAAUUAUUUUAUCAAAAUUACAUAUAAUUAUGUCAUUAUUUAAUUAAGCCGGUGACAAUGCUUUUGAAACAGACACACAAUGAGCCCAUACUUCAUCUCUUUUCUGUAAAUAUUUGGAUUCGUUUCCAAUUAAACUAGGUCUAUCCGCGAUAUAUUUGACAAGGGUGUCAUGACACUCUUUUCCUUCUUGUACAAGCUCCUGGCAACAAGGAAUGGAUACAACUCCAUUACCAAAAACUUGAGAAAUGAUAUUGAGUGCACACUUUGGACUGAUUUUAACGACACAUUGAUCCCAUAACUUUUUGGGUUCAUUUUCUUCUACGGCUAAUGAAGGAAUACAUGAAUUCGCCACAACUAGAACAACAAAAGACACCAUAAUAAUGUUAAGCUUGGCCAUGGUUUUUUGGCUAUAUGGGGAGUUAAUGUUUGAUUUUUCUCAAUAUAGAAUAUGAAAAUAGCUUUUAAAUUUAUGAUCUGGUUUGAAUAAACGAUGAUAACCCUAUUUAUAUUAAUGAAUAAUCAAUAUUAAACAUUUAUUGUUGAGAAAUAACUUUGCUUGUGACGGUUUUUAGUUCAUUAAAAUUUGUAAGUUACAUUUUUCUUGAUGCAUGAAGUUAUUAAUUGUUUAGGAUAAUUAUUUAUAAAUAAUUAAAUUAGAAUUCUUGUAAUAUAGAAAUAAAGACAAAUAAAGAAUUUAUACAAGUAUUUAAAUUCCAACUAAUAAACUACUGAAUAUUGUUGUUGUCAGCAACAUAUAUUUUGGUGGUUGUAUAUCAACUUACUAACAAAAACCAAAAGUACAGUCUAACAUGUGAUAAGCCUAAUAAUUGAUUGUAAUAUUAACGUUUGAGUAUAUAUGAACAUAUAUCACUCUGGGGUUAAAAGAAAGAGUUUCAGAUUUUAUAUUUUCUUUAUUUCGUGAUGUAGGAUGCUUGUCAAUUUUUUAAUGUUUAAACAUAUAGAUAACAUACAUAUACUUUGGUUCAUCUUUCAAUCAUAAUCCAAAAUAUUUUUUAAUGAAUUGAUUAAAAAAACAUAUGCAAAUUUUUUGUAAACUCCAAAAUUUUAAAUGGAAAUCGUUGUGCGAUCAAUUGCAAGAGAUAUUUUAAAUGUAAUAAGUCUGUUGCGAUCUUAUGUUGUCGUGAAAGGCUAGAGUCUUGUGAUUACAAAUAAAAUGUGUGUUUUGAUAUUUUUCUGUUUAAGUUAAUUAAAAUUGUGAGUACAAAAAAUUUUGAAUACUUUUUUUUUUGGACUACACCUUUUUAUUUGGUAUUCAAAGUGAGAAUUGAAUGAAAUAUUGGUAAAGAAAACACGCAACACAAGACGAUAAGAAUUAAAUAUCUCGUGAAUAUAUAAAUGAUUUUAUUUUAAAAUUGUGUGCAAAUACAAAUUAUUUUAUCAAAAUUAAAUAUAAUUAUGUCAUUAUAUAAUUAAGCCGGUGACAACGCUUUUGAAACAGACACACAAUGAGUCCAUACUUCAUCUCUUUUCUGUAAAUAUUUGGAUUCGUUUCCAAUUAAACUAGGUCUAUCCGCGAUAUAUUUGACAAGGGUGUCAUGACACUCUUUUCCUUCUUGUACAAGCUCCUGGCAACAAGGAAUGGAUACAACUCCAUUACCAAAAAUUUGAGAAAUGAUAUUGAGCGCACACUUUGGACUGAUUUUAACAACACAUUGAUCCCAUAACUUUUUGGGUUCAUUUUCUUCUACGGCUAAUGAAGGAAUACAUGAAUUCGCCACAACUAGAACAACAAAAGACACCAUAAUAAUGUUAAGCUUGGCCAUGGUUUUUUGGCUAUAUGAGGAGUUAAUGUUUGAUUUUCCUCAAUAUAGAAUAAGAAAAUAGCU
Molecule: long non-coding RNA, 1882 nt
Filed under: Brassica rapa (field mustard)
Lineage: Eukaryota; Viridiplantae; Streptophyta; Magnoliopsida; Brassicales; Brassicaceae
Description: long non-coding RNA (BRAP_LNC004729)
Source: RNAcentral